RNAcentral lists this ribosomal RNA (400 nucleotides) under uncultured bacterium. RNAcentral's name for it is "partial 16S ribosomal RNA". It matches the Rfam family "Archaeal small subunit ribosomal RNA", at positions 474 to 873 of the family's 1478-position model. The record is from RNAcentral.
CACCGGCAGCCCAAGUGGUGGCCAUUUUUAUUGGGCCUAAAGCGUUCGUAGCCGGCCUGAUAAGUCUCUGGUGAAAUCCCGCAGCUUAACUGUGGGAAUUGCUGGAGAUACUAUCAGGCUUGAGGUCGGGAGAGGUUAGAGGUACUCCCAGGGUAGGGGUGAAAUCCUAUAAUCCUGGGAGGACCACCUGUGGCGAAGGCGUCUAACUGGAACGAACCUGACGGUGAGUAACGAAAGCCGGGGGCGCGAACCGGAGUAGAUACCCGGGUAGUCCUGGCCGUAAACGAUGUGGACUUGGUGUUGGGAUGGCCUCGAGCUGCCCCAGUGCCGAAGGGAAGCUGUUAAGUCCACCGCCUGGGAAGUACGGUCGCAAGACUGAAACUUAAAGGAAUUGACGGGG